Molecule: ribosomal RNA, 523 nt
Filed under: uncultured bacterium
Lineage: Bacteria
Description: partial 16S ribosomal RNA
Rfam family: Bacterial small subunit ribosomal RNA
Source: RNAcentral
GACGAACGCUGGCGGCGUGCCUAAUACAUGCAAGUCGAACGCUUUUUCUUUCACCGGAGCUUGCUCCACCGAAAGAAAAAGAGUGGCGAACGGGUGAGUAACACGUGGGUAACCUGCCCAUCAGAAGGGGAUAACACUUGGAAACAGGUGCUAAUACCGUAUAACACUAUUUUCCGCAUGGAAGAAAGUUGAAAGGCGCUUUUGCGUCACUGAUGGAUGGACCCGCGGUGCAUUAGCUAGUCGGUGAGGUAACGGAUCACCAAGGCAACGAUGCAUAGCCGACCUGAGAGGGUGAUCGGCCAGACUAGGACUGAGACACGGCCCAGACUCCUACGGGAGGCAGCAGUAGGGAAUCUUCGGCAAUGGACGAAAGUUUGACCGAGCAACGCCGCGUGAGUGAAGAAGGUUUUCGGAUCGUAAAACUCUGUUGUUAGAGAAGAACAAGGAUGAGAGUAGAACGUUCAUCCCUUGACGGUAUCUAACCAGAAAGCCACGGCUAACUACGUGCCAGCAGCAGCCGCGG